RNAcentral lists this ribosomal RNA (496 nucleotides) under uncultured bacterium. Its description in RNAcentral is "partial 16S ribosomal RNA". It matches the Rfam family "Bacterial small subunit ribosomal RNA", at positions 29 to 507 of the family's 1533-position model. The record is from RNAcentral.
AUGAACGCUGGCGGCGUGCCUAAUACAUGCCAGUCGCGCGAACAGACGAGGAGCUUGCUCCUCUGACGUUAGCGGCGGACGGGUGAGUAACACGUGGAUAACCUACCUAUAAGACUGGGAUAACUUCGGGAAACCGGAGCUAAUACCGGAUAAUAUAUUGAACCGCCUGGUUCAAUAGUGAAAGACGGUUUUGCUGUCACUUAUAGGUGGAUCCGCGCCGCAUUAGCUAGUUGGUAAGGUAACGGCUUACCAAGGCAACGAUGCGUAGCCGACCUGAGAGGGUGAUCGGCCACACUGGAACUGAGACACGGUCCAGACUCCUACGGGAGGCAGCAGUAGGGAAUCUUCCGCAAUGGGCGAAAGCCUGACGGAGCAACGCCGCGUGAGUGAUGAAGGUCUUCGGAUCGUAAAACUCUGUUAUUAGGGAAGAACAAAUGUGUAAGUAACUAUGCACGUCUUGACGGUACCUAAUCAGAAAGCCACGGCUAACUACGUG